AUGGACAAGCUGAGGAGAAAUUUCCUUUGGUGUGCGGAGGAUGAAGCUGUAGGAAGGAAAUGUCUGGUCAGCUGGAAGCGAGUCUGUGCUCCUAAGCGUCUUGGUGGUCUAGGAGUGAAGGACAUACUUUGUUUCAGCAGGGCGUUGCGUUUGCGAUGGGAAUGGUUUCGGUGGGCUGAAGAGGAUAGGCCGUGGAAGGGCACAGCGACGUCGUGCGACGACACGGAUCGGCAGCUCUUCUCCAGUUGCACUAGUAUCGAGUUGGGAGAUGGUAGCAUAGCUGCCUUCUGGACUGACAGGUGGCUCAACGGCGAAGCCCCACUGCAUUUAGCACCUGAUAUUUUCAAGCUGGCUAGGUUCAAAAAGCUCACGGUCAAAGAGGCGCUCAGUACAGCGCGAUGGAUGCAAGGACUUCAGCGCUUGGACAGUUACGAGCAGCUAUGUCAAUUCGUUGGCCUGUGGGAAAAAUUGCAAUCGGUGAAUCUUUCAUACCAGAGAGACAAAAUCAAGUGGAACAUCACUGCCAAUGGGAGAUACUCGGCGUGUUCUGCUUAUCAAUUCUUGGCCAGGAUUGAGCAACCUGGGAUUGCCCGCGUGUGGAGGUGCAAGUUAGAAGGGAAGGUAAAGUUCUAUAUGUGGCUUUUAGUGCAGAACAGAAAUUGGACUGCCGACCGGCUGCAGGCCAGAGGAUGGCCUCACAACGACUCUUGUAGGCUUUGUGACCAGGCGCCGGAAACCGCGGCGCAUCUCACACUGCAGUGCUGCUAUGCGAGACAGGUUUGGCAUCUUGCUCUAGGGGCCAACGGCUGGGUGCAAAAUGAUGGGUUGUCGACAACCUCAGUUUCGGAAUGGUGGAGGAUUUUUUGCACGCACAGCGGCGCGAUUGCUAGGAUUGAGGCUGAUUUAACUUUGGCGGCUUACAUUGCCUGGCAUCUCUGGAAGGAGAGAAACAGAAGAGUUUUUGAAGAUAAGGAGCUGACUCCUCGGGCCGUGGUGAACCUGAUUAGUGAUGAUGUUAAAUUGCUUAACGAGGCUUUGAAUCCUUCCACUACGGCUGAGCGAUAG
This 1065-nucleotide ribosomal RNA is filed under the name Triticum aestivum (bread wheat). Its description in RNAcentral is "partial small subunit ribosomal RNA". The record is from RNAcentral. Lineage: Eukaryota; Viridiplantae; Streptophyta; Magnoliopsida; Poales; Poaceae.